GACGAACGCUGGCGGCGUGCUUAACACAUGCAAGUCGAACGAUGAAGCUGGAGCUUGCUCCGGUGGAUUAGUGGCGAACGGGUGAGUAACACGUGAGCAAUCUGCCCUUGACUCUGGGAUAACUGCGGGAAACUGUAGCUAAUACCGGAUAUGAGGCUCGAAGGCAUCUUCGGGUCUGGAAAGAAUUUCGGUCAAGGAUGAGCUCGCGGCCUAUCAGCUUGUUGGUGAGGUAAUGGCUCACCAAGGCGACGACGGGUAGCCGGCCUGAGAGGGUGACCGGCCCCAAUGGGACUGAGACACGGCCCAGACUCCUACGGGGGGCAGCGGUGGGGAAUAUGGCCCAAUGGGCGAAAGCCUGAUGCAGCAACGCCGCGGGUGGAAUGAAGGCCUUCGGGUUGUAAACCUCUUUUAGCAGAGAAGAAGCGAAAGUGACGGUACCUGCAGAAAAAGCACCGGCUAACUACGUGCCAGCCGCCGCCGUAA
This 483-nucleotide ribosomal RNA is filed under the name uncultured bacterium. RNAcentral describes it as "partial 16S ribosomal RNA". It matches the Rfam family "Bacterial small subunit ribosomal RNA", at positions 28 to 523 of the family's 1533-position model. The record is from RNAcentral.